RNAcentral lists this ribosomal RNA (253 nucleotides) under uncultured bacterium. RNAcentral's name for it is "partial 16S ribosomal RNA". It matches the Rfam family "Bacterial small subunit ribosomal RNA", at positions 524 to 776 of the family's 1533-position model. The record is from RNAcentral.
UACGUAGGGGGCAAGCGUUGUCCGGAUUUAUUGGGCGUAAAGAGCGUGUAGGCGGCCAGGUAGGUCUGGUGUGAAAACUCGAGGCUUAACCUCGAGAUGUCAUCGGAAACCAUCUGGCUAGAGUCCGGAAGAGGAGAGUGGAAUUCCUGGUGUAGCGGUGAAAUGCGCAGAUAUCAGGAAGAACACCAAUGGCGAAAGCAGCUCUCUGGGACGGUACUGACGCUGAGACGCGAAAGCGUGGGGAGCUAACAGG